This 1028-nucleotide ribosomal RNA is filed under the name Providencia stuartii. RNAcentral describes it as "partial 23S ribosomal RNA". It matches the Rfam family "Bacterial large subunit ribosomal RNA", at positions 1218 to 2228 of the family's 2925-position model. The record is from RNAcentral. Lineage: Bacteria; Pseudomonadati; Pseudomonadota; Gammaproteobacteria; Enterobacterales; Morganellaceae.
AUGUUGUUGGGUAGGGGAGCGUUCUGUAAGCCUGUGAAGGUGUGCUGCGAGGCAUGCUGGAGGUAUCAGAAGUGCGAAUGCUGACAUAAGUAACGAUAAUGCGGGUGAAAAACCCGCACGCCGGAAGACCAAGGGUUCCUGUCCAACGUUAAUCGGGGCAGGGUGAGUCGACCCCUAAGGCGAGGCAGAAAUGCGUAGUCGAUGGGAAACAGGUUAAUAUUCCUGUACUGGUGAUAAUUGCGAUGGGGGGACGGAGAAGGCUAGGCUGGCCGGGCGACGGUUGUCCCGGUUUAAGGAUGUAGGUGGGUGAAUUAGGCAAAUCCGGUUCGCUAUACACUGAGGUCUGAUGACGAGUCACUACGGUGGCGAAGUAGCUCAUGCCCCGCUUCCAGGAAAAGCCUCUAAGCUCUAGAUUAUCAUUAAUCGUACCCCAAACCGACACAGGUGGUCAGGUAGAGAAUACUCAGGCGCUUGAGAGAACUCGGGUGAAGGAACUAGGCAAAAUGGUGCCGUAACUUCGGGAGAAGGCACGCUGGCAUUAGGUGAAGUGGUUUACCCAUGGAGCUGAAGCCAGUCGCAGAUACCAGCUGGCUGCAACUGUUUAUUAAAAACACAGCACUGUGCAAACACGAAAGUGGACGUAUACGGUGUGACGCCUGCCCGGUGCUGGAAGGUUAAUUGAUGGGGUUAUCCGUAAGGAGAAGCUCUUGAUCGAAGCCCCAGUAAACGGCGGCCGUAACUAUAACGGUCCUAAGGUAGCGAAAUUCCUUGUCGGGUAAGUUCCGACCUGCACGAAUGGCGUAAUGAUGGCCAGGCUGUCUCCACCCGAGACUCAGUGAAAUUGAACUCGCUGUGAAGAUGCAGUGUACCCGCGGCAAGACGGAAAGACCCCGUGAACCUUUACUAUAGCUUGACACUGAACAUUGAGCCUUGAUGUGUAGGAUAGGUGGGAGGCUUUGAAGUGUGGACGCCAGUCUGCAUGGAGCCAACCUUGAAAUACCACCCUUUAAUGUUUGAUGUUCUAACGU